This is a long non-coding RNA of Manis javanica (Malayan pangolin), 4693 nucleotides long. RefSeq lists it as uncharacterized. NCBI's taxonomy places the organism in Eukaryota, Metazoa, Chordata, Mammalia, Pholidota, Manidae. The record is from RefSeq and is a predicted model, not a curated record.
GAUAAAUUACUGACACCAAACUCCUCAGGUGUGCCUGCACACCAGACACCCGAUCUUGCAAGAUCGUCAUUAAAGCCUCACUCUGCUGUUCUCUUUGUCUCCAUGUCCACUUAUUGAAUAUGGACCAGUGAGUGUGUUUUUCACAAUUUGGGGGCUCAUCCGGGAUCCUCUUGCCUGUGUGAGGAGGGGCCCAAGCGGAGUGAGAAGACGCGUCCCACCUGGCUUUGGGCAGCCCGCUCUGUCUGGACAUCUCACCUUCACACGGAAGCUGAGGGGAGACCGGAGACUGUUGUGUAGAGACAGCGUGACCGACGCAGGGGGAGAAAACGCAGGCACCGCAGCAACCAGGCAACCUCCUGCACGAGCCAAGUGAGCAUUGCCACAUAUUUUAUGAAAAAAUGAGGACAGGAGUGUGCCUGGCUGCCCUCCACAUCCUUCUCCCACCAACUCCUCUCAGGUUCCACAGAGCCAGACUCUGCAAGUAGCACCCAAACAAGGACCUGAGAAUGGAGUGAUCAGAAGCUGAGGUGAGGACACUCCCCAGAGGAUUGACGCCGGUCAAAUAAGCCUCCUGGAGCACCUUCUGAAGAAGAAUCAAUGCAAACUGAGCAGCCAUCCACCAUCUGCAGCUUCAAAUAAAGAAAGAAGGGGGAGAUGCUAUCGUUCCUUCCUGAACACAGCAUUUUCUAGAAUCUCCCUAUCCUGUUGUUGCAGGAAGGGCAUCUCCCAUUGUCUACUGUGACCAGAGGAUGUCUUGUAUAUGCCCCAUAUAUGGACUUGCCUUGUGCCAAGAGCCAUUCCUCCCUGUGAUGGCGCCUAUCAUUUUUUUGUCCUGUGAUGGUCCCUCUUGUACUUUUACCAAGAUAGACUCUUUUCUCAUAGUCCACUUGCCCAAGGCUAUGGCUGGGCUUUCCAGCCCAUGUUGAGGUUGAAGGCACCUGGGGGCUGGUGCCAUGCCAUCUGUCUCUUGUCCAGUGCUUUAAGCUGGGCUCUCUCUGUAGUAGAAACCUGGGUUCCCUAAGACAUGUGACCAGAGCCAGGGCCCCACCGGCUGGUGAGGGAACUUCAAGGCAGGUGCUGGGUGUGGAAGCCACGGGGCCAUAGACAAUCAAGGAGACAGAGAACUGACCCUCUUGGGGGAUGCUGCUCCUCUCUCAUUUAACAUGCCUCACAUCACCCUUCUUGGCCCCAGAGGAUGGCUAGUUAGCCAGAGACAGGUAAGAUUCUCAGGGAAGGAACAACCUAUGACAAGCACAGUUGCAGAGGGGCCAUCAGGAGAGAACUUGAGAGCCAACAGAGGUGGGGCACAGAACCUCACCCCCCCCAACCCUGCAAAGGCCUGAACCCUCACCACUUCUGAGGGAGGUCUUAUGCUCCCAUGGCUGCUUUGCUGUCCAUGCCCAGCUCAGAUCAGGACUGAGGUAGCAGACAGGGACCUGGCCAGCAACAGCUGCCUCCUUAUUCCACUAAAAAGGAGAUGUGGAGAGCUGGAUGUAAGAGAGACAAGGCCACCACAUCCUGUAGGUUCCGCUCAAGGAACUACCUGCCAGCACCAGCCCCAGUUAAGGUGAGGUACAAAAAGAGCUGCAGGCAUUUAAGCUUAGAAGGCAACAAGAAGAGCUUCCAAGAUCAGCCUGGAAGUGAGAACAUUGUGGGCAGCACACAGAAGUAAGCCUGUGUAUAUAAGCUGUGAAGAGAAUUAAAACUGUGCCACUGGUCCACCAUCAGUGGUCAGUGGACCUCCUGUUCCCAUCUUUUCUCUCUGUGUUUUUCUUCCAAUCUCCCACCCACUUCUCUCAGGUUCCACAGAGCUGGACUCUGCACAAUGGCACCAAGAUGAUUACUUCAACUGAUUCAACCCACUACAUAAUCAGCAGUCUCAGAAUAAUAUUGACAAUAUGACCAUCAGAUAUAAGAUUAAUAAGUUAAAAACCAGAAGACCAGAAUUUGGUUUGGGAGUAUCAGUUUGAAUACAUUGUUUUCUCUUAAAGCUUUUUUUUUACAUAGUUCCUAGCUUUGUCAAUGAAAAGGCCUAGAAACAAUUCCAUACAUUACCACUAAAAAGAACCAGAGGUCCUUGGAGAAAUGGCUGAUUUUAGGUUAGAGACAGAAAAUAUAUAAAAUGCACCUGGAACAUCUUGUAACACCUGAAAGCAAGGAAGCUACCAAAGACUCAGGAUCCAACUUGAAGGGGUUUCCACUUCAAGAGAUGGAACAGUUUGAUUCAUAGUAAGGACAAUGCAUUAAAACAAAGUUUAAAUGCAUAAGUCCAAUACUCAAAAAAGGCAUACUGGUCACCUUUGAUGCUAUAAAACGAACUCAUUUUGAAAGCUUGUCAAUAAGUGGAAAAAUACACUUAACUCAUGUAUACUAUGUACCUAAUUCUGUAUAAUAUAGAACUAAUAUAUAACCAAAUAAUAGAUGAAGGUCAAUCCCUCUUUAUAGAAGUACUACAUCUAAUCAACAAAGAAGGAAUGGUAGAAUAUCAACAUUUUACAACCAUUAAUGAAUUAGUAGAUCUAAAUGAUAAUCACCAAGUGAUUCAUAACCACAAAAGACAACCAUGAAUUACAUGCCUCCUGAUGAAAGUAAGGUCACACCAGCUUUUUCUGUUUGCUAAAAUAAAAAAAUAAAACCCUGAGUCUGAUGAAGCUUCGUGAUCUACUUACCACUUUACAAGAAAAACAGAACAGAGGAGUAUGUUAAAUACCACCAAGUAGCACUUAACAGCAAAAUACAGAAUGUGGGAAACUAAAGGACAAAUGACCCAGUUACUUAAAAAAAAGGGGGGGGGGGGAACAAACAGAUAGAUGGAGGGGAGUCAGCUGUAGAUUAUAUAGAAGAAACAAUCCAAGCAUCUAGGAGCGUAUCAGUACCUAGAUUCUGAGUUCUGAAUACCAUUCCCCACUAAAAGGAAUCAUAGAAUCUUGGAGAAGCUAUUGAUUCCAGGUAUGAAACAGGGAAAAUACAAUGUGAACCUGAAACAUUUUUGUGCUAGAAAGUGCUCAAAGAAUGAUGAAGACAUGUCAAAAGAUAGAGAAGCCAGCCUGACAGGACUCCUACUAAACAAAUUGAGGACAACUUGAAUAUCAAAAUGAAUAAUGACAGCAGACAGUAAUGGAUUAGAAACACAUUAAAAAAUAAAAAUCUGUGAGUCCACACUGAUGCUAAAAUUGAGAUGAGGUAAGGGAAGAGUGCCAACCUAAAAAUAUACAUAAAAUGAUGUGAAUUUUUUCAACAAUCUUAGUAAUAACUUAUUCAGGCAAGAAUCAUUAGUGAACAUUAAAAUCACUAGGUAAAAAUUUUUGAGGAACAAAGUAUUCACACAGUUUGGCAGUUCUACAAAAUAUUAAACAUAGUUAUUACAUGGUCCAACAAUUCUACUCCUAUGUAUGUACUCAAAAGAAAUGAAACAAAUCACAAAAACUUCCACAGGAAUGUUCAUAGAAGCUUAAUCUGUAACAGCCAAAAAGUGGAAACAAUCUAAAUGUCCAUUGACAGAUGAAUGGAUAAACAAAAUGUGAUUUUUGUCAAUGCAAUAGAAUAUAACCACCAUUGAAAGGAAUAAGGUACUGACAUAUGCUACGAUAUAGAUGAACCUUAAAAACAUCUGAAAUGAGAGAAACCAGACAUAAGAGGUCACAUUUUAUAUGGUUCCAUUUAUAUGAAAUGUCCAGAACAGACAAAACUGUGAAACAGUAAAUUAGGGGUUGCCAAGGGUGGAGAGUGACUGACAGGGAAAGAGUUUUUUUUAAGGGGUGAUAAUGUUCUAGAAUUAGUGGUGACUGCUGCACAACUGUGUGAAUGUACUAAAAAUCCCUGAAUCUAUAUACUUCGAAAGAAUGAAUUUUAUGAUAUGUGAUUUGUAUCUCAAUAAAGCUAUCUUUAAAAAGAUGUUUUAGGGGAGUGAAUCUGAUAGGAAUAUCAAAGCUGAGUGGCAUCAGGUAACCCAAUCUGGAAUUUCAGCAUUAGCCUGUAGGCCUGUGACUAAUGUGGGGACCUGGCUUCAGAUAAGGCAGUAAGAAAUGAGAAUGGUAGAAGUGGCAGGGCUUGGGGGUAAGGGGUUGGCAUUUACAGGACAGUUAUAUACUAGGAGUUGUGCAGAAACUUGUGGGUGAGCACCAAUGUAAGGAGAGUCGUCUGGUGUUAUGGGUCAGGGGAGGGAAUGUCAGCCUUAUGUCUGAGGUGUUCACGUCCCUGUCAUCUAACAUCAAAGGACUACAACCUUUCCCAAGAUAUUCCUGAAAGCCCUUUCAGAGGCCAUCAGCAUUGAUGAUAAGCUGGGACCUUAUAUCCCCAUAGCCUGGAUCAAUAACACUUACCUGGAAAGUUCCAAAUUGGAAUUUUUACUUCUGCUGGGCACAGCUCUUCUACCUCCAAUUUGAGAAUGAGGUCUGGUUUGGUAACCUGGUGCCCUGCUAAUGAGAAAUACAGCAAUACCUCUCAGAGCCUCUGAGAAAGAGGAAGGUGGAGUUUGGGGCAGCACAAAGGACCUAUCAAUGACCCAGUGGUAAAGUCAAACCAUUUUACCUGGGUUUUGAGUUAACAAACACCUGUCCAGAAGAGCAAAGAGGGAAAAGGAACUUUCAUCUCUACAAUUCAAUGUUAAAUUCAUCAAACAGUUCAGAGACCUUUCAUGUUUCCAAAAUUGAGAAAGGAAGGCCCUCUAUCAGAUACAAUAAUUAUAAUCAGU